UGAGGAAUAUUGGUCAAUGGCCGGGAGGCUGAACCAGCCAAGUCGCGUGAGGGAAGACGGCCCUACGGGUUGUAAACCUCUUUUGUCGGGGAGCAAAGGCGGUCACGCGUGACCGGAUGAGAGUACCCGAAGAAAAAGCAUCGGCUAACUCCGUGCCAGCAGCCGCGGUAAUACGGAGGAUGCGAGCGUUAUCCGGAUUUAUUGGGUUUAAAGGGUGCGCAGGCGGCACUGCAAGUCAGCGGUCAAAAUGCGGGGCUCAACCCCGUCGAGCCGUUGAAACUGCGGUGCUUGAGUGCGCGAGAAGUAUGCGGAAUGCGUGGUGUAGCGGUGAAAUGCAUAGAUAUCACGCAGAACUCCGAUUGCGAAGGCAGCAUACCGGCGCGCAACUGACGCUCAUGCACGAAAGCGUGGGUAUCGAACAGGAUUAGAUACC
This 433-nucleotide ribosomal RNA is filed under the name uncultured bacterium. Its description in RNAcentral is "bacterial SSU rRNA". It matches the Rfam family "Bacterial small subunit ribosomal RNA", at positions 355 to 786 of the family's 1533-position model. The record is from RNAcentral.